AUCCAGAUGACGAGUCUCAAACAGGACGUAAUGCGCAUUCUGAAU
Molecule: non-coding RNA, 45 nt
Filed under: Trichobilharzia regenti
Lineage: Eukaryota; Metazoa; Platyhelminthes; Trematoda; Strigeidida; Schistosomatidae
Source: RNAcentral